CCUUUAUUCAGUUAACUCUGAAAACGUAUUUCUUUUGUUCAUGCACCUUUGCAUCUGGCAUUACUGGUCGUAUGAGCUUAAAGCACUGGUUUUGGUUUUNGAAGAUUAAUUCAAAGGUUAGUUCAAUUCUUCUCUUAUUCUCCCUUCAUUCUUUGUUCUCUUUUUCUUUUUGCCCAAAACCGAAAAAAAAACCUAAGGUUAGCCAAAUGGAAGAAAUAGCGGCAUGAGCACGAGAGAGAGGAAGAGAAGCCUUCCAUGCCAAAUCCAUAGGCCAUGAGAAGUAGACAAGAUAAAAAAUUUUCGAAGCUCAUUCUUCCUUUCUUUUUUCUCGUUUUCUCUCUUCUCCCUUUUCUUUUUCUUCUUUUCGAAAACCCUAAGAGAAAGAGGGAUUCUCGGUACGGCUAGGGGAAGAAGAGAAUCUGAGGCUCAAACGAAGUAACGGAAGAGAGAAUUUAAGANGGGAGGCGAGAUUUUAAGGUGAGUAAUGGAGAAAGGGCGAAACCCUAAAACCUAGACGAAUGGGAGGUUCUUUGGUACGAGAGCAAGAGAGAGGAGCAUCAAUACGUUUUGGGAAAGAAGGAGAAGAGGAUACGAAACGGAGGAAAACCAUGAGNAGNGGGCGCGNAAGGUGAGAACUGAGAUUGAAGAUCAAGACAAGUGGAGAAUGUCUUUCGUCAUGCCAUCAAAGUAUGGUGCUAACUUGCCACUGCCUAAAGAUUCCUCUGUGACAAUUAAAGAGGUGUCUAGAAAAAUAGUUGUUGUAGUUGCCUUUUCAGGAUCAAAAUCAUUUGUGGAUGCGGUGAUUGGUAGAUUGCUCCUACUUUGACAACAUUGUGAACUGUUGUAAAUGAGUAAUAAUUCUAUAUUAUGACAUUGAACUUAAAGUUCUUAAAAAGAAUAUUUACAAAGUUCAAGUGAAUAAAACAUAAUUAUUAUUGUGAAAUUGGUUGGAGGAAUAUGGUUAUAAUGAAAGCAAGUGCUCAAGACAACUCAAUGACAACGAUUGUGUAUUAUGAGUCGAUAUAUGAAAGAAAUUAUCACAUGUGAAGGAGGAANAAUUUCAACUAAGUAUUUUUUUAAUUGUAGGCAUCGACAAUAUCGUGACAAUCAAAUUAUUGAAGUUAGGGAAGAUUGACGUUUACAUGUAACUAGUACAUGUUUAUAGGUUAUCUUAUGGUGAUGUACAUGCUUAUAUGUAUUAAUAGGAUAUAUGUGUUAUGGUUGUAUAUAUGUCUUAUUUAAUUUAUACAUUGAAGUAUUGAACAUUC
Molecule: RNA transcript, 1268 nt
Organism: Vigna radiata var. radiata (mung bean)
Lineage: Eukaryota; Viridiplantae; Streptophyta; Magnoliopsida; Fabales; Fabaceae
Gene name: heme-binding-like protein At3g10130, chloroplastic
Exons: 5
Source: RefSeq, a predicted model, not a curated record